UGGAAACGCAUCACGUGCACCAAUGUUUUCAACAGAGCUUGUGUGUCACCAUCCUACUUACGAUUUUUAAUGUUAUUCAUUGUUAGUCAAAAGGUCAUUUGUUGUUUUUUGAGCUAUAUUUUUGGACUUCAAGAUCAUUCUUUCAGCGUUCAAGCCAAUCAAGAUGUGAAGCAAAAAGCUCGUAAGAAAAGGUGCAAGUCCUCCUCAACCGUUAACCAGAUCCCACUCUCUCUUCUUUUAAUCAUAGAUGGCUUCUUAUAGCUGGUUGUUUUGGAGUGUUCCCUGACAUGAUUCUAUUGAUGGCAAGCUCUUUGUUUGCUCCAGGCUGUCUUGCAUGAUGUCUUUCAGCUUGUUGGUUAGUCUCACGAAUCAGCCGCCCUUCCUAGGUCUCUCCUUAGGAAGGGCGGCUAAUUCAUGAGACUGGCAUGCAAUUAACACAACGGCAAUUAGAGACCUAAUGAGCAAAGGUUAAGUGCUUCGCGCCUCCUCUGAGUCUAUCCUAUACAUAUCUGCACAGUCGGUGAUGAGUCGCUUCCUGUGCAAUUUGAAUGUAAAACGCUGAUGUCAGCAUUUAUUAAAAAGCAAUAAUUCUUUACAGUGAUAUUAUACAGUGCGAUAGUAGUGGUAUAUUUAAAAUAAAGCUAUAGAAUCACUGAAAGCUUGGACCAUUUAAGGAACAGCUUGGUAAUUAUAUAUAUACAUGGUUAUAUUAUACAUGGUAUGUACGUGUAUUAGCUAUACAUUUGUAACACGGACAGAGAAAAUGAAAGGUGCAGAGAUUGUUCGGGUCGAAGUUCUCGAUAAAAUGUUUCCACAGGUAUUUUGUAAGGUGUGUUUUGUUUGUGUUCAACGAUGACUCUAGUUCCAAAACACCUCUUGGGAGCGCAUUCCAGAGCCGGGCUAUACGGAUGAAAAAGAAAUUUCUCGUAGUCGUUAGCCUCACGAAUUUGUGCUCCAGUUUGACACCAUUUGCUCUUGUCCUAUUAUUAACAAACUUAAUGUACUUGUUCAAGUCAUUUGCGUCAGAUGUGUCUUUCAGAUUCCUGAUUAGCAGCAUUAUGUCUUGAUUUCAAGCCAGUACAUGAGCGGUAGAGUCCUAAGCUCAAGAAGUCGAGAUUUAUAGUUAUUUGAGUAGUCAUUCAGAAUAUACUUCGUUGCUUUACGCUGUAUUCUUUCUAGACUUUGAAUAUGUUUUAUAAGUUGCGGCCGCCACAAUUGACAGCAGUAAGAUAUUUGGGAUUUCACCAGUGAGCAAUAUAGUAUUUUCUUCAGUUGUAUGGGUGAGUGGGAGGGAGGUAUAUUUCUUCUGAUAACAUAGAGCGCUUGGUAGGCUUUGGAGCAGAUAAGGUCAAAAUGCUCGCUCCACGAUAGGCUAUUUGAAACUAUUACACCUAGGUCUUGAUUGCAUAAUUAUACCUCGUUAUAGACAUGUUAUACACAGUGUUAUACACAUGUUAGACAUUAUACAGUAUAAAGUCAACGUGUAUAAUGUCACACUUACCUAUAAUUUAGCAAUACUGCUUUACCCUAACUCUAACCCCUUUACCCUAACUCCCUUUACCCUAACUCUAACCCCUUUACCCUAACUCUAACCUCUUACCCUAACCCUUUACCCUAACCCUGGCCCCCUAACCUGUUACCCUAACCCUAACUUUACCCUAUAACCCUAUCCGUAAGCCUUUAUAUACCCCUUAUGCUAACAUGUACUAACGUUAUACCCUAACAUAUAAUUUAACUAACCCUUACCCAUAAUUAUUAUAUCCUUAUACCUAACCUCUUAUACCCCUAUAACCCCUAUAACCACCCAUAAUCCCGACAUUAUUCACAUUAUACGCGUGUUAUACAUACACAAUUAAAUGUACCUGUAGCCAAACACUCUAUAUCCGUAACACCAACACAUCCCAACUGGGACCUCGCAAAUUUGACAUUAUGCAUAUUAUGCAUAUUAUACACAAUUAUUUGACAUUAUAUUAAAUAUAAAAUAAGACGUUAUGCAUAUUAUGCAUAAUAUACACCACUUACUAAUAUGUGACAUUAUGCACAUUAUGCAUAAUUAUAACAAUUAUACAUCAAGUAUAAAAUGCAUAAUAUCAUAAUACGUAUGAAUGUGACAUUAUGCACAUUAUACAUUUUUAUAUCAACAUUAUUAUUAUGUUACAUGUAUAAUGUGGGCAUGUUAUGCCAGAACUACAAUCUGACAAAUUAAUCCUAAAUGCAGCAUUUUAGCUAUAUAUAAGAUGAUCCAAUUAAGUUAUUUUGAAAUAAUUAUCGUGCUUGCAGUGGUGUAUUUUGCUGACUUGCAGGUAGAAUGCUCUUUGACAUUGUAAGGAGACCUUCUGCUCGGUUCCUGAAUGUAGAUAGUAAGAGUAUGAUCAUCUAACACAAUCUGGUGUCUGUAUAAAGGGUCUACCAUGUUCGAUGUGACACUGGGGUUCAAUUAUGGGAUGCAUACACUAAUUAAAAUAUAAACACCCUCCCGCCAGAUGGUAAGCAAUGAGCAAUUCAUUUGAUAUUUGAUAUAUGAACUACUUAGGCUUAGUACUUUCUGAAAACCAUAUGCAAGACUUGCAAAUUCAACAACAUUACAAGUAAAUUAUCAAAAUGCUUGACCUACUAUAUGCUGCUAGCCUUGAAAUACCUACCUGUGAGAAUCUUUGCUCGGUUUAAGUUUAUAUGUGAUGUAUAUGCCCUCAGUUAAUUCAGUAAUCUAUCCAGUGCAUGCAAAAGUUAGUAUGAUAGUUGAUCAGAUUGUUCAAAAAUGACACUUAUUAGAGCCUGCUAUGACCUUUGAACUUUCAGGCAAAUUUUGUAAAUUAAAGAGCACCACUGCAAGAAAAAUAGUAACGGAAACUGGGAUUUAAAGGUGCAGCUGUAUUGCUAUCAUGUACUAGAGUAUACAGCAGAAGUUUAAGACUGAUUCUUUCACUUUUAUUUUUCCCAUUGCGGACCCUAAUUACGUGGGCCAGAUAGGCGUUUCCAAUCCCUUUCUGUUUGUUUAUCUAUGGUAUAACAUGCAUAAAUAACCAAUCCUGCACACUUAUGCCCCUCUCUGUUCAAUUACCCCUCCCUCCACGUACUUACUGCGCAGCAACCAGCCAGAAAAAACAACACAGCUAGCUCUAGACGGUGUCUAGACCAGCUCUCUUCAGCUAUGCCAGGCUAGUAGGCAAGCAAAGAAGCUGAACAGGCCUAGUGCAGUGCGUUGCAGUACUAGUGCUAGUGAGCAAGGCUCAGCCUGAGCCCUAGCCCUCUCCAAGAGUGUCUCUAAAGCAGCUCCUUCUGCAAGCACACAGCAGAAUUUUUGAUGAACUAGUCUACAGACUACACCCUCUGCUCUAUGUUUUCAUUUAUGACAUUUUGUUUCUCAUGCAAGACAUUUUCAUUCAUCGAAAACACCAUUAAUUUAUUUUUAAUGCA
Molecule: long non-coding RNA, 3417 nt
Organism: Halichondria panicea
Lineage: Eukaryota; Metazoa; Porifera; Demospongiae; Suberitida; Halichondriidae
Exons: 3
Source: RefSeq, a predicted model, not a curated record